AAAGGAACUAAGGGCG
Molecule: ribosomal RNA, 16 nt
Filed under: Candidatus Phytoplasma solani
Lineage: Bacteria; Bacillati; Mycoplasmatota; Mollicutes; Acholeplasmatales; Acholeplasmataceae
Description: partial 23S ribosomal RNA
Source: RNAcentral